GACGAACGCUGGCGGCGUGCUUAACACAUGCAAGUCGAACGGUGAUGCUCCAGCUUGCUGGAGUGGAUCAGUGGCGAACGGGUGAGUAACACGUGAGCAACCUGCCCCAGACUCUGGAAUAAGCGCUGGAAACGGCGUCUAAUACUGGAUACGAAACUGGCCCGCAUGGGCAUGGUUUGGAAAGUUUUUCGGUUUGGGAUGGGCUCGCGGCCUAUCAGCUUGUUGGUGAGGUAAUGGCUCACCAAGGCGACGACGGGUAGCCGGCCUGAGAGGGCGACCGGCCACACUGGGACUGAGACACGGCGCAGACUCCUACGGGAGGCAGCAGUGGGGAAUAUUGCACAGUGGGCGAAAGCCUGAUGCAGCGACGCCGCGUGAGGGAUGACGGCCUUCGGGUUGUAAACCUCUUUCAGCAGGGAAGAAGCGAAAGUGACGGUACCUGCAGAAGAAGCACCGGCUAACUACGUG
RNAcentral lists this ribosomal RNA (468 nucleotides) under uncultured bacterium. RNAcentral describes it as "partial 16S ribosomal RNA". It matches the Rfam family "Bacterial small subunit ribosomal RNA", at positions 28 to 507 of the family's 1533-position model. The record is from RNAcentral.